AAACUUCCCUCCUCUCUCCAAUGGCUGCCAGAACAACCACCGCCGCCGCCUUCUACUUUCUCAUCCUCAUUUCCCUUUACAUUUCCACUUCCGCCGCCCCCACCGGUUCAGUAUGCAGCUCGACUCGAGACCCAUCCUACUGCAAAUCGGUUCUCCCGAAUCAAACCGGCAAUGUCUACUCGUACGGACGGUCGUCGUUCAGAAAGUCACUGUCGUCGUCGCAGAAAUUCCUCCGGCUGGUGGAGAAAUACCUCAGGUCCCGAUCGUCGCUGACAGUGCCGGCGGUGAGGGCGCUGGAGGACUGCCAGCUGCUGGCGGGACUGAACAUUGAUUACUUAACGACGUCGUUCCGGGCGGUGAACUCGACGAGCAGAACGUUGCCGGAGAUGAAGGCGGACGACGUGCAGAGUCUGCUGAGUGCGAUAUUGACGAAUCAACAGACUUGUUUGGAUGGAAUUAAGGCGACGGCGGGUUCUUGGUCGCUCAAAAAUGGCCUUUCUCUCCCACUUGCUGCUGACACCAAGCUCUACUCUCUGUCCUUGGCCUUCUUUACCAAAGGUUGGGUUCCAAAGAAGAAGAAAAAACCGACAUGGAAAGCCGCCGGAAGACAAGGGGGGUUCAGAAAUGGGCGAAUGUCACUCAAAAUGUCCAGCCGAACCAAAGCGAUCUACGAGACGGCGACCCGCCGGAAUCUGUUGCAGAUCGAUGACGGCGGCGACGACCAGAUUGCGGUCAGGGACAUCGUCGUUGUCAGUCAAGACGGCAGCGGAAAUUUCACCACCAUCAAUGAGGCGAUUGCGGCGGCGCCGAACAACUCUGCUCCGUCCGACGGGUAUUUCUUAAUCUUCGUGUCGGCCGGAAUUUAUGAAGAAUAUGUGUCGAUUGCGAAGAACAAGAGGUACUUGAUGAUGAUCGGAGAUGGCAUUAAUCAGACCGUCGUCACCGGUAAUCGGAGUGUCGUUGACGGCUGGACCACCUUCAAUUCCGCCACGUUUGCGGUGGUCGGACCUGGAUUCGUAGCAGUAAACAUGACAUUCAGAAACACCGCCGGCGCCAUAAAGCAUCAAGCCGUAGCCGUCCGGAAUGGCGCCGACUUAUCAACAUUCUACCUCUGCAGCUUCGAAGCCUACCAAGACACCUUAUACACCCAUUCCCUCCGCCAAUUCUACCGCGACUGCGACAUCUACGGCACCGUCGACUUCAUCUUCGGCAACGCCGCCGUCGUCUUCCAGAACUGCAACAUUUACCCACGCCUCCCGAUGUCCAACCAGUUCAACGCCAUCACCGCCCAGGGUCGGACCGACCCAAAUCAGAACACCGGCACCUCCAUCUACAACUGCCGAAUCACGGCAGCCGACGAUCUGGCCAACAACAGCGGCGCCGGCGUCAAGACGUUCCUAGGGCGGCCGUGGAAGGAAUACUCAAGGACGGUUUAUAUGCAGAGCUUUAUGGAUGAUUUGAUUGAUCCGGAGGGAUGGAGGGCUUGGAAUGGGGAUUUUGCUUUGAACACUUCGUAUUAUGCUGAAUUUGGGAAUUUUGGGCCGGGAUCUAACACAUCGGAGAGGGUUAAUUGGCCGGGAUUUCAUUUGAUUAAUGAUACCGAUGCUGGCAAUUUCACGGCGGGGAAUUUUGUGUUGGCCGACGAUUGGCUGCCGCAGACCGGCGUUCCCUAUACCAGCGGCCUCACGGACUAGAAAACAGGGCAAAUUUGUAAUUUCAUGUU
This 1723-nucleotide unclassified non-coding RNA is filed under the name Hevea brasiliensis (rubber tree). The record is from RNAcentral. Lineage: Eukaryota; Viridiplantae; Streptophyta; Magnoliopsida; Malpighiales; Euphorbiaceae.